GGGUCAGGUGCUACUUUGUCGGGACGGUUUUCCCGAGCCUUAUCCUCUCCGUCGCAGGCGCUGCCCCUGCUCUCCCGUUCUUGCCCAUCGCGGGCGCUGCCCCUGGCCCCUGCUCCUCCCAUUCUCUCCAUGGCGCCGCCCUAGCCCCCCCUCUCCUUCCCAUGACAGGCACCAAGAUCGACGGUCGAGCCUCUGCCGCCUUUCUGCCCCAUUCAUCCAGCUUCAGGUGCUCGACGGAGGCCGGCGAGAAUCUUUGACGAGGUAGAUGGAUUGCUGGGGUUGGAUGGAUUGGACGGAAGAGAUCUGAGAACUUUCGCCGGGAGUUAGUAAGGUUUCAGGAGGAUGAUGGACGCCGACGAGAUUGUCCAUUUCGCCUUCCCGUCCUAUGACCAGAUGAAUUGCGGCAUCAAGAUGUCAGCCAAGACGAUGGCGUCAUUGUUAUAGUUUGUGUGGUUCUUGACCAAACACGUUGGAUUGGCGAGGAUAUUGUGCAGGGGGAUGAGGGUAAUGAAGGAGAUAAUACAGAACGAUAGUCACAAGCUAGUAGGAUAAGGGCAUCACCUGGGAGGUUGGUGACGUUGAACAAUAAGUUGAGCCCAUUACAAAAGUCUCACCUCUGCCAGAAGCUGUUUGAAUAUGGAACAAUAAGUUUUGCAUUGGAGGGAAUUCAGAUUUCGGAACUUGUUUGUACGCUCAUUUUUUACAUUUUUCUUUAUUGCUCUUUUUGUCGCAUAGAGCAGUUGUGUCUCUUGCACAGUUUUUACUAAAUAGGUUGCACAGAUACAACCCAGUAAUUGGUUUAUUCCUUUUUCUCACAUUUUUUUCUUGUUUUCAAUGAUGUACGGGUUCUUUUGGCCAAAGAGGCUGAUCUAGAUUUGCUGCACAUAAUUCAAGCUACAAUUCUUGUACACUACUAUUUGGGAAGUAGAAAUAAGAUUAUGAUGUCAGGAAAUAGAUUUUCAUCUUUUUUAUGUUUUACUUUUAGUAUAUAGAACACCCUAUAGAACAUAUUCCCGCUACUGCUAUUUGUGUGAGACAAGACUAUUGUACUCUCCUUUGUACUACUGUUUCUUGUGCUUCUUCUGGUCUGGAUUCAUGUUUUAGUUGCACACAUUUACAGCAAAAGUUGGCUUUGGAUUCAUGUUUAGUUGCACAAAUAUAUGUAUAUUUUUGCACAAACAGCACACAUCCAUGUCGGUGUGUGUUGGUUGCACACAUUUACAGCAAAAGUUGGCUUUUAAAAUCCAUGAUUAGUUUGCACAUCUCUUUUCUAGUCUUGGCUGUUUGGUUGCACACAUAGCAGGAAAAGUUGGUUUUGGAUCCAUGUUUUAGUUGGCACAAAUAUAGGCUUCUAUUUGCACACAUGGCAUAAAAAGGUUUCUUAUGAUCCUUCCCCUGAUUUUCAGUAUGAGUAAAUAGGCUAUAAAAUAUGUUUUUAUGGUGUUUUUGUCUAUGUGUUUUCUUAUGAAGCUUCUCCUGAUUUUCUUUUAUGUCAUGUAUGUAGGGAGAUGAUGGUGAUCAAUACCGUCUUGUAAAGCGUCAAAGACGGAAAGCAAAAGCCACAACACCCGAUGUAGGCGGUUCCUCAUCUACAACCAAUCCUGAUUCAGUGCCAUCUCAACAUGUCAGCAUUGCAUGUAGGAAAUCGGCAACCCGAGCACCUACUGUGGCAACUCCAACACCUAGUGAGCCAGCUGCAGGUCAACACAUGCAUAAUGCAUCAUCUGAUGGGCCGACACCAGCAACUAGUGAGGGAAACACACUUUCAUCUGUGCCAGCUCCAGUAAUCACUGUGCCAAGUACAGUAUCAAGUGAGGCAACUGUAACUCCAGAUGUGCCACCCCCAGUAGCCAAUGUGCCACCUGAAGGUCAAACUGUGCCAACUGCAGGGCAUAUGUUGGAUGUUGGUGUGAACAUCUUUUGUGCCUAUUUUGUAUCUAUUUUCAUCGGAUGUUGGUGUGAACAAUCUUUUAUGCACGUUGUGUGCCUACAGGUGGCUGCUGCAACUUGUCUAGUUGCACGAAAGCAGUAUAUAGUUGCACCAACUUGUUUACUUUUUUUGGCACACAGUGUUGCUACAAUUGGCUGCUGUAACUUGAUUGGUUGCACGAAAGCAGCAUAUUGGUUGCACAGAUUCUGUGCCAACCCCCUACA
This is a long non-coding RNA of Aegilops tauschii subsp. strangulata, 2154 nucleotides long. RefSeq lists it as uncharacterized. Lineage: Eukaryota; Viridiplantae; Streptophyta; Magnoliopsida; Poales; Poaceae. The record is from RefSeq and is a predicted model, not a curated record.